Molecule: unclassified non-coding RNA, 274 nt
Filed under: uncultured fungus
Lineage: Eukaryota; Fungi
Description: sequence contains ITS1
Rfam family: 5.8S ribosomal RNA (bases 1-100)
Source: RNAcentral
AAACUACGUUAAACGGUGUGAAUUGCAGAACACGUAGAACACUGGAACUUUGAACGCACAUGGCAGGUUAGUAUUAUAACUAACCUUUGUGUGAGGGUUGUAAUCAAAGAAUCAAGGCUAGUUUUUGAAGAGCGGGGAGGUUGCCUACUGUGACAUGUCCACAUUAAAACACACCUGUGUUGCGCCUCUGGCCAGCGUCGGAGGUUAACAGCAACUGGACGAGUGUUAAGCAUUCAUUCUCACAACCUCAGGCAAGAUUACCCGCUUAAUUUAA